AUGCUGAGGCGUCGGUUCUAUGUGAGGGCCAUUGAAGCUGUGGCUGAACUUGGCAUUUAUUUGGUGAUCUUCGAGUCAGAAUCUUCUGUCCUGGUGAAUGCUCUCAACUCCGAUGAGUAUGAUCGCUCGACGAUUGGCGUGCUCCUGAGGGAGUCUCGCAGUAUUUUCUUUGGGAACUUUGAGUCUUUCGCUUUUAGCUUUUGUAAGCGUGAUUGUAAUAAAGUGGCCCAUGAACUAGCCGUGUUUGGCUACGAGGCAGGUGGUGUAGUUUCAUUGUGGCUUGAUGAACCCUGGACUUUGUAUCGGCUAUUAUCGCGAGCGAUAUUGCUGUGCGGGCAUAGUAAUGGAACGUCUGUGUCCAGCGUAAGAAAAAAUAUCUCUAGGUGA
RNAcentral lists this ribosomal RNA (387 nucleotides) under Triticum aestivum (bread wheat). RNAcentral's name for it is "partial small subunit ribosomal RNA". Lineage: Eukaryota; Viridiplantae; Streptophyta; Magnoliopsida; Poales; Poaceae. The record is from RNAcentral.